Podarcis lilfordi (Lilford's wall lizard) is the source of this 73-nucleotide non-coding RNA. NCBI's taxonomy places the organism in Eukaryota, Metazoa, Chordata, Lepidosauria, Squamata, Lacertidae. The record is from the annotation of a GenBank genome assembly.
CCUCCUGUGGAGCAGUGGGUCAGUGCAUCUGGCUGUUAACCAGAAGUUGAUGGUUUGAGGCAACCCAGGAAUA